UUUUGUAGUGGCAUAGGAAGACG
This 23-nucleotide non-coding RNA is filed under the name Cricetulus griseus (Chinese hamster). The record is from RNAcentral. Lineage: Eukaryota; Metazoa; Chordata; Mammalia; Rodentia; Cricetidae.